RNAcentral lists this unclassified non-coding RNA (23 nucleotides) under Mus musculus (house mouse). RNAcentral's name for it is "oocyte_clustered_small_RNA12265". The record is from RNAcentral. Lineage: Eukaryota; Metazoa; Chordata; Mammalia; Rodentia; Muridae.
UGUGCUCCAUGUCCUGCGUGCCC